GUCUAUGAUCAUAACACCCAGAACUCAUCCGAUCUCAUCUGAUCUCAGAUGCUAAGCAGGACUGGUCCUUGUUAGUACUUGGAUGGAAGAAAUCCAAUUAAUACAGGAG
RNAcentral lists this ribosomal RNA (109 nucleotides) under Erinaceus europaeus (western European hedgehog). Lineage: Eukaryota; Metazoa; Chordata; Mammalia; Eulipotyphla; Erinaceidae. The record is from RNAcentral.